This 490-nucleotide ribosomal RNA is filed under the name uncultured bacterium. Its description in RNAcentral is "partial 16S ribosomal RNA". It matches the Rfam family "Bacterial small subunit ribosomal RNA", at positions 30 to 507 of the family's 1533-position model. The record is from RNAcentral.
AUUGAACGCUGGCGGCAGGCCUAACACAUGCAAGUCGAACGGUAACAGGAAGAAGCUUGCUUUUUUGCUGACGAGUGGCGGCGGGGUGAGUAAUGUCUGGGAAACUGCCUGAUGGCGGUGGAUAACUACUGGAAACGGUAGCUAAUACCGCAUAACGUUGCAAUACCAACGAGGGGGACCUUCGCGUCUCUUGCCAUCGGAUGUGCCCAGAUGGUAUUAGCUAGUAGGUGGGGUAACGGCUCACCUAGCCGACGAUGCCUGGCUGGUCUGAGAGGAUGACCAGCCAAACUGGAAAUAAAACGCGGUGCAGACGCAUAAGGGAGGGCGCAGUAGGAAAUAUUGCAGUAUGGGGACAACCCUGAUACAGCCAUGCCAAGUGUAUGAAGACAGCCUCAGGAUUGUAAAGGACUUUCAGCGGGGAGGAAGGGAGUAAAGUUAAUACCUUUCCUCAUUGACGUUACCCACAGAAGAAGCACCGGCUAACUCCGUG